This 464-nucleotide ribosomal RNA is filed under the name uncultured bacterium. RNAcentral's name for it is "partial 16S ribosomal RNA". It matches the Rfam family "Bacterial small subunit ribosomal RNA", at positions 339 to 795 of the family's 1533-position model. The record is from RNAcentral.
CUACGGGUGGCUGCAGUGGGGAAUAUUGCACAAUGGGCGCAAGCCUGAUGCAGCCAUGCCGCGUGUAUGAAGAAGGCCUUCAGGUUGUAAAGUACUUUCAGCGGGGAGGAAGGGAGUAAAGUUAAUACCUUUGCUCAUUGACGUUACCCGCAGAAGAAGCACCGGCUAACUCCGUGCCAGCAGCCGCGGUAAUACGGAGGGUGCAAGCGUUAAUCGGAAUUACUGGGCGUAAAGCGCACGCAGGCGGUUUGUUAAGUCAGAUGUGAAAUCCCCGGGCUCAACCGGGGAACUGCAUCGGAUACUGGCAAGCUUGAGUCUCGUAGAGGGGGGUAGAAUUCCAGGUGUAGCGGUGAAAUGCGUAGAGAUCUGGAGGAAUACCGGUGGCGAAGGCGGCCCCCUGGACGAAGACUGACGCUCAGGUGCGAAAGCGUGGGGAGCAAACAGGAUUAGAUACCCCAGUAGUC